CCGCCCGCCCGGCCCCGCGCCGCGGGACGCGGCCAAAGGUGCGUCCUGCCCGCGCUCCCAGGCAGCGCCCUCGGUCACGUUUUUGUCAAAAUAUUGGCACCGGUUCUGCAAGUGGCUCCCGAAUGGUUUCGGUGCGAUAGACACAAUGCUGUUUGCCCGGGGUUCUCAAGGUUUACACCAGCUGCCUGCCUCCAGCCAACACAGGACUUACACAGGAAGGUAAAGGAGAGAGAAAGUGGUCAUGUCAUGAAAGACAGCUAGAAGAGUAUGGGAAGUACACAGAGCUCUGAUCCCAGCUGGCAUUUGCUGCAUGUGGACAAAGCACAGAAAGUUUUCCAAGUCCAUUUCAGAAUAUCGGAUGCCCUUAAAGGUUUGAAAGGACUUAUCAGUCAGCAACUUUGGAAGAGCAUUUCAAACCCACUGCCAAAACAAUGGGUCAGCUAAAUACUCUGCAUGUUUAGUGCCACAUCUGAGUUUUUGCAUAUGAGUGAAACUGCAGCUCCGGGACGAUUCAGGGAGUUUUCUCUGCAGAGUAAUUUUGGUUCUUGUCCUGAUUUCUCUCCAGCCUUUCCACUGCUAUUACAGCUCUGGUAUCCUAUAGCAAGUAAGAACAUAACAUUACAACUGUUCACACGUGGGAGAUGGAGGAACUGCAUUAAGAGCCCAUCAGAUAGGAAAGUAAGAGGCUGCUUAGGUUUGUAUGGAGCCACUUCCAAGUUUAGCAAACUGGGCUAGAGUGCCUUGGCCCAGGUUGAACUCCGUACUGCUAGGUUUGUAAUGGCUCUAAGCAAUUCUUUUCUACCUUGUCUUUAAAUGUUUAUCACCCAGGGGUUCAGGCAUAGCCUGCUUUGUUUCUGUUGUAUUCCUCUCCUUUCUCCAUGCUUAAGGGGCAGCCUGAGAAAUUGCAGCACAUGCUUUCCCCUGCUCUGCAGUUGCCUGAGCUUUCAUGUUGCCAGUCCCUUGCCCUCCUUUGCUCACGUGUCUGUCAGCUGGCUCACAUCCAUCUCUCAGUGCUUCUAUCUGAUAAGACUGGUGCUGUUUAGAUACAUUUUGGGAAGUGUCAGAAAAUAUCCAAGGAGACAUAAUUCUUUUUUCAGUCAUCUUUACUUCUAAUUUCUUAGUCGGGAAACCUUGAUCUUCAAAUUCUGCUUCUCCAGCAGUCACCACCAUUUUUGCCUCCUCCUAUCUCUCCCUUCACUUCCCCUUCAAAAACAGGAAUAACUGGCUUAGUGCUCCUACUUAGAGCAUGAGGUCCAAUGGGCAUGUGGAACACCACACAUGAAGUAGGAACUGCUCUGAGAAAAAAAAAGGAUGUUGCUGGCCCUUUGAGGCAGACCUCUGCCUUUCUGCUUUCCUCUGUUGAAUUAUCUCUAACUGCCACAAGUUUUAGACUUGGUGUGAGAACCAUAUGGAAGGGAAGAAGUAUCCCAGACCCAAGAUGCAAGUCUAUGGAUUGCAAAACAGGAGGCCAAACACCAAAACAUCAUCUAACAAAAGUUUCUUUUGUUCCUGAUGACUCCUUGCUUCCCUCACAUGCUGCUUAUCUGGGUGAAGAAUCAUGGCUGGAAUUUAUAAAUGCUUCUCUGUUGUGCAAAGGAGCUUUGAUAGCAUGAAAUGAAUAACAGCUUUUUAACAUUUCAAGCAGAAGUGGAAGAAGAUGAAUGGACUAUGAUUGCUGUCUGAACAGGUUGGCCCUGUAGGGACAGGUUUCAAGUGGCACCCAUGUGGGAUACAGGCAGCAUGUGGAAUACAGGGCCUGAAGGAGAUGCUCAGCACCCACCAUUAUAGGAUUUUGCUUUUUUCUUGACUUUGAGAAAUGGCUGUGAGUGCUGGCUGAUUGCUCUGUUGCUUACAGAACUGUCUGGACUUUCAGAGAACUAAUUUAAGCUGGCAGAACACAUACUGCUGUAUAAGGUUCUGCUUUUUAAACACUGACCUCAGGAGAAGCUCUGCAGCAUGAGAAGGUUAUUAUAGGACUGGACACCUUGAGUCCCUUGGGGUAAAUCACUACAGUGUCUCAGUUACCAGUUAAGUCCUUGUGUUCUGGUGAAAACAGUGGAGCUUGUUCUCACUGGUGUAGUAUCUGAGACACCAAGUUUAAUGAAUCGUUACAAAUAGUUUAAUCUGCACUUGCAGGUGCUAUUAAAACUGAGAUUGUUUGGGUUUUUUGUAUUUUUCUUUUCCAAGAGAAUUUUCUUACCUAGGAAAAACAGUCUUUCUCAGGCACAAUGGUUUAAAUACGGAGUAGUGAGUUAGGUUUUGCUCAUUAGAAAGCCUGAUGCUGAAUUCAAUAUUCCCUUCUGCUAAACUUACCUCCUCCAGGAUUUCAGACUCUAAGUUGCAGAGGAUAAAACAUAAGGCCCUGGUUAAUUGCAAAUAAAUAGUGCCAGAAAAAUAUACAGAUGGUACCUGAAGUUCAUUUCUGAAGACUAUCCAGUUAACUAUAUAUAAUUUACAUGAAAAGUAUGUAGAGUAAGGAGGAGAACAAAUUUUUUUUGUUUUCUUACAUUUCUAAAACAACAAAACAGCAAAAAAAGAAAUAAUAAAUGAAUACCCUCUGUCACUGAAACUUCUUGACUGGGAAAAGAGCAACCUGUAUUUCUAUUUAUUUACCUUAAUCAAAUUAAUUAAUUUAACAAGUUUGAAAAAUUCAGGAUUCUACAGGAUACAGGUAUAAAUAUCUGGCAAGUAGAGUGUAUAUAUUAAACUACAUCUACUAGGCUAGUAAAUAUUUUGCUGCAUUAGUUUGCUCAUUCCCAAGCAAUCAGUUAUGAACUCCAGUGUUGUAACGGGUCCACAGGGAACAUUUGUGCUUUGGUUGGCACUUAGAUUAAAUUCAUCAAAUUAUUUUUUUCCCAGUUCAAGGCUGACAUUUCAGAAUUUUUUUUUAAAAGGUUGUGUGCCAACUGCCAAAGUCAAUUAAUUAAAUGGUAAAUCUGAAAUUUGUAGGGGAAAACUAUCAUUCCCUUUUGCUGUGCGACCUUGGAAAUGUGAACAUUUAAUCCACUAAACACAUGGUUUACCAGAGGGUCCUGAUCUGCUUGCACUGAAAGUAAAAAGCAAAGCUUGCUGCUAUGUUUUGGGAGAUUAGGGAUUACCUCAAGGAUGGCAUUUUACCCUGAAUUUUCCUUCUGAUUUUGAUACUUGGUAGUAAUGACAAUAUUCUUUGAAGUCCUGUUAUGCUUGAGAGCUUUAAGUAUUCAGCACUUAGUAGGAGGAAGCAGUGCAAAUUUGUGGAUUCAUUUUCCAUAUAUUUGAUGCAGAUGAGGGUAGGAUGUACAGUCCCAGAAUUUGCUGGCCAAAGAGCUCCAUCUUAGAUCUUUAAAGGAAAUCUUAGAGGCAAAAUUCAACAGACUUGAGCAGAUGGUGAUCACAUUCCUACACAGCAGAAGUAUUACAAAUCUUUCCCAAAACCCACACCUUCCAAGGAGUGUAUCUACCCUCAUUGUCAGCAAAGGCAGUCUGGCAGACUGGACUGGAUCUUGCUCUUCUGGAUCCUACUCUGUAUGUCUCUUUGUGGACAUCUCAGUGGACUUCUCAUCUCUUAUUUGAAGCAUUGUCAUCUGAAGGUGCUUGAAAAUGAGUGCAAUGUGCUGACUGUUCUUUGGGUGUUAAUUCUCUGUCAUUAGUUUAUAUUGAUUUGUGUUUGUUUAUUUGCUCCCUGCCUGAAAACGUGCGUGGAUGAGAACCCUCUCUUUGGGGCCCUGUAUAUGUGUGGACUAGAAACACAGCACAAAACCAAUGUAAAAGACAGUAAAAACAGUGAAUAGGAUAGAUAGGUCUAGGCAGACCAGAUACAUGACCAGGUGCAUGACUUCUCUUCCUUUACCAUUUGAAAUUCUUUUAUUCUGUGUUUUGCUAUGAUUUUAAGUUCAAGAUUUUUUUUCAGCCUUCCCACUCCCCAUUGUUUAAUAAAAUUACAUGUUAUUUCUUUAGGAAGAAAAAAGAUUCCUAAACAGAUUGGUUUCUGCACAUUCAGAAAUUUGUUGGGAUUUGGUCCCUAAUGAGGGGGGCUACAGUUUAAGGAAGGACACAGAUUAGCCAUCAGUAGUAGGGAAAAAUGGUGGAAACUGCUAGUUCCAAGGGUGUUUCUUAAAUACUGGCCUUGUGGGUGUGUAGGCACUAUGCAUAUUAAGAUAUAGGAAGCUAAUUCUUAGGAUUUAUAAUCUUGUGCCUUCUCCUAUCCCUUUGCUUUAUAUAGUGAAUAUAUAUCAGUUAUAUCUGUCAAAGCCUGAAGAGCGGUUCUUGGAAUUGUCCUGUCUGUCCAGAUAUAGGCCAUUUGGCAGAAAAGAAAUCUGAUGUCCUCCUAUGGAAAAUGUUCCUCCUUGUGAAAGAGACUUAAGAGAUGGGGGCCCAGAGGGACCAAGUCACCUAUGAAUGAGCAGAAGUGGGAGUUCUUCAACUCUGCUUUUCUGAAAUACUAUUACUGUAUUUAGUCUUGGGGAUAUUUGAUGUAAAACAUAAGCAAGAAUGCCUUCAGGAAGAAGAUAAAUUAAGGAUGCCAAGCUGUGGAUAAUGCUUGGAGUCAAAGCUAUUUUUGAUUCCUGGGUUCUUUAUACUGUAAAAUUGAAGCGUUUCUAUCUAUGUCUAGAAGGAGAAUCACUGACAUGACUAGGGAAACUUUAGUCUUAACUUGAAGAACUUCAGAUGGUGCAAAGGCUAAGCAGUAGAUGAGGGAAAAUUUAGAAUAUUGAAUUAAAUAUUAUCUGAGGCAUCUAAGUGUUGGAUUGGGUCUAAAAUUCAGCUAACGUGUGUCUAAAUUUCCUUGCUGGAGGAUGGAUUUGUUGAUAUUUCUCUCAGAGCAAUGUUGAGCAGUGAAAUGUGUCAAGUGAUCAUUUAUUACGGUAAUAACUGUACCAUGUGUGGACUUACAGAGAUGGAACUGUGUUUUCAAUGUCUUGUAAAUUUGGCAGAGGACAAAUCUGUGAAUGCUCCUAGGUGAUCACUAGAUUACCAAGUUUUCCUGAACCAGUGGUGGUUAUCUAUAUAGUUUCUGUGCAAAAUGCCUGUAUCUCCCUGUGAUAUAUGAAUCCAGUUUUACAGGAGAUAAUGAAACAUGAAAGAACAAAACAUUGUAGUUUUUUCCCCCUAAUGUUGUAUCUCAGCAUUGUCUCCAUCAGUAGCCUUGUCCGCAGGAAGUGUAAAGUUUCCUGCUAUGAUUGUUUGACUGCUGCCAAUUAUCAGAUCUGCUUUUGGCAGCUUUCCCUCCCAACCUGCUGAUUAGCUAAUGUGUGCUUACUAAUACAAUAUGGGAAACUGGUGUAAAUGAAGGAGCAAAAGAUUUAUUAAUUUCAUGUGCUAAUUACUGUUUGUAAUAUAAUUAUCAAUACUGCAAAAAGAAAUCCUGGCUUAAGAAAUAGCCAGGUUUCAAUGUCUUGUGAAAUGAGGCACAAGAAUUUUGUGCAGGAAACAGGUAUAUUUUCCCCUUGAUACAUGCACAUAAUUUUCAUUAGAUUCAUAGGUUUCAAAGGCAGAAGAGAGAUCAUUAGAGCUUGGAGCCUAACUACCUGUAAAACACAGGCUAGAGGAUUUCAUCCAGGUACACUUUACCCGAGUUAAUAGAAAACAGGAGCCAGAUCCUGGACUGGAUGUUCAACAGUUUUACUCCACUAAGCUGGAAUAAUGGUGAUUUAUACCAGCUGAGAAAUUGGCAGUAGACUUAAAUGACAAUGGAUUCUUUUUUGCAUAAACCUAAAUGAAAAUGGUCACUUAUAUUUUAAUAGCUGUGUUGAAAGAGCCUUGCUGGGAGUGAGUUUUUGAAAAGUAUUUUAAGCUUUAGAAGAAAAUGAGGGCUUUUCCAAACCUUUAUGGGAUGAUUGUGUUCCCUGUUGCAAUUUAAACUUGUCCCUUCACUGAAGAAAAGACAUAAAUUUAGCAGAAAAAAAAAAUUCUUUUAAAAUUGAAACAUGUGCCAAGAGUCUUAUUUGUAAUUAAAUCAUGCACUAGGAUUUUAGUGGGGAAAGGAAGAACAAAAUAAUAUAAUAAAAAGCUGAAUAUUCUCAGAGCCAAGAGGAACUUGAACUCAAAUGUUUAAAGAUUAAAAGUCUCAAGAGCUAAAAAGUAGUCUCUGAUUUCUUUCAUUAGGAUGUAUAUUUGGCAAAACAAGAUGUCUCAUUACUCUUCUGUAACCAUCUGAAUGUGCGUGUGGAUGAUGUUAUUAUAUUUAUAGCAGAUACAGUCUUAUCAUUUAGGUACAGACAGAAUCCUACCUGUUCAGAGCUACAGGGUUUAAGAAUGCACUCAGACAAUAUUGACAUAGACAAUGCCAUAACAUCCUGCAAUCUGCACAGAAACUGAGACUUUGUGCACACCAAAGAUGAAUAAAAGAACUUCCUUCCUGCUCCCUUAAAAUGAGAGUGUUUAAAGGAAAAUACAAGUGUGGGGAGAAUAUCCUCCAGAUUCCCAAUAAAUUUCUGUCAGUUCUAUCUCAGGAGGAGGUGGUGGAGGCUUUUGUGUUUGGUGAUACAGAAAUCUGUGGCUAUCACAUCAACGUGUAGAAUAUGUAGAAAGAAAGACAACUUAUUUGAGCAGCUGCUUGUGUGGAUGGUAAGCAGAGAGAAUCUUGUCUCAUAAUAUUCCUAUUCUCAUUUAUAAUAAAUCAGCUGCUGGUUUGGCUGAUGAACAAUUUGAGGUGUUUUAUAUGUGAUGAAAAAAAACCUAAACAGAAUACAUAUUUUAAUACAUUCCCUAUAUUUUUUCCCUGAGUGUUUGUCUCCUUCAGAGACGGAUGUCUGUUUCAACAUGUCACAGUACAUUUUAAUGGCACUGUCACAUGGAGAAUAAACCUGAUAAUUUACUUCAGAGGUAAACAUCAGAAGACAUGGGCUGAACCAAAUUAACCCCAUCUCUUUUUCUCUUUGCUUUAAGCAGAAUUAGAACUCCCAAUCCUUCCUUGAAAAGCAGGGUUUCUUUUUGUCCUUUAUCCAGAAGGAUUUAAGUGUUCCCCAUCCUUGAGGAUCCUCAGGUAAUUCCAUCAUACCACUAAGUAUUUGGAAACAUCAGACUUGCCUACAAAGUCUGUAGCAACAUCACACCCUUCAGCCUGUUGCAGACAUCUGUCUCAUGAGGAACAUGCAGCUGCUGAACUGAACUUCCAUAAUGUCUAGGCCCAAAGUUAGUUCAGCACUCUGUAAGAAAACUGGGAAAAAAACCCACCUGAUUGUCUGUUUUAUGUAGCCAGGCAAGAGCAAACAUCUAUCAAUGCUAUCUUGGAUACUCUCCCUUUAUGAACAUCAGACCAUUAGCUCAUGUUAGAUAUUUCUGUAAAACAGAUCCUCAGGGGUGAAGCACUUGGAGCAGUGGCUCAUGAAGGAGAACAGCCCUUUGCAGCACCAUAUGAAGAGCUGAUGUACUGCAGCAUGUAGAGGCCACUGCCCCUUCUCAACCUGCCUCAUCAUUUCUGCCCAAGGGUGUGUGUAGAGUGUGCCAGCAUAUUUGCACUGUGAUCCAAGGAGAGACAAGAAAAAACAUGAGUUCCUUGCAGAAGCCAGGCAAGAGAGGCUCUGAUUGAGGUCUGGACUGAAUAUUGUGUAAUUGCAUGUUACUCAUUAUGACCCUGUGUUUAUUGCUUGGUUCAGUCUACAGCUCUCAGACCACUAUGCUGACUUCCAGGAAACUUAAAAAAUAUUGUUUCCCAAAAGCUGAAGUUGGGCUAUUGUCAUAGAAAAAAUAGCAGUCGUUUAUGGUCUUGUCAAAUUAAGUUCAACUUCAGUAAACAUAACAUGAAAUCUGUACUGGACAGCCUCACCAGUUAAUAAAAAGGUUUAUUCAGCCUAGUCCUACAUAAAUAUCAGUAAUAUAAUAUUCUGACCAUUGUAAGAGAAUUGCAUUCACAGAAGCUUUGCACUUUCAGCCUGAUGAAAAGUGAUAAAACAUCAGUGUAUAUAUAGUUCCAUUUUGUGUCAUUUGCUUGUGGAGUACUUCCUUCUCCCACUAAAAUUAAAAUUUAAAAGACUUUCACUUUUGAGGAAAAAAAAUCAUUGAAGAGAAAUUCUCCCUGGCAAAUUAAUAGAUAAGGUCUGCCAUGCUAACUCAAAAAAGCAAGCAAAAGGUAAAAAUUGAAUCUCUUUAUCACAUUUGAGUCAUUUUUCUAAACUGGGGAAGUAAUAUGGGGUGGAAUAUAUAGGACAGAUUCUCUUAUAGAAAGUGCUUUUAAACUGUAAAAGAUCCAUAACUAAUAUUGGGAAUGGUUAUAAAUGACAGUCUUCUCUUUUAGAUUAUGUUGCAUUUAUUACAUUCUACCAGGACUUUAUGGAGACUCUCAAGGAAUUAAUGUUAUAUUUAUGAUAAAAAUACAGAGCCGCUUCUAAAUAGCAUUUUCAUCAUAUUAACUGUUGCCUAGAUAACAGGCGUAUCUCCUCGAGCACCUCGAUUCUGGUUUAGCACUACAGCUUGCAAAUUAAUACAGUCAUUAUAAGACAGCAAAGCUAUAUCACUUACCAUUUCAUUAUUGUUCAAGUCAAAAUCCAUAUUUUUUCAGUUUUCCCUAGGGUUACAAACUGGAUAGGGAAACGUUAUCAUCUUGCAGAAUAAUCUCUCAAGACUCACUCUCUUUGGUGUUAAGAGGAGCCGUUAAUCAUAUUACAAUAAUUUUCAUAUUAAUAGGUCCCGUGUAAAGACAGAGUUAAUGCUCUCCUUCUACAGUCAAUCCUCCAACACAGUUUUUUUUUAUAUACAUAUAUCUGUGCAUAUAUAUAUAUAUAUAAAUAUAUAUUUUUAUCUGCUUGGAACUAGAUUAGCACAAAAGAUAUCACGUCCUACUCAGUGUAUGAAUCAGGGUCAAAUCAACAGCAAACUCUUAAAUUUUUAAUCAAAAUGGCAAUCUGUCAUCCCUAAGAGAGUUAAAUAAUGUUUAAGUGAAUAACAUGAAUAUGCUUCAGUGGAAAAUGCAUGGGAGAACUUACUGCAGCACACAGAAAACAUUCCAUGGAAUAUCUAGAAGAUACUUUAGUCCUUAUGUGAGAUGCUGUGAUGCUAGCAUGCAUAUCCACUCUAAAUUAAAAAUCGUCUUUAGACCUGAAUUUUUUUUUCUCAGGAACCAGUACACCCUCUAUUUUUGUGAUCUCAGAUACUGUAAUUUUCUGAAAGCUUCUCAUAUAAUGUUGUACAUUUAAUAAUGUAAUGUUACUUAAACUCAGGGCAUUUUUGGAUAUUUUUCCUUUUUUCUAAUCUGCUGACCUGAGUAAUGUGCUCUGCUCAGGAGAAGUUGAGUGUGAAUUUAAGAAGCUGUCCAAGGGGUCAGGUGUUUGCCUAAUUUUGAGCAGCCUGAAUGUGAAACAAAGGUGGGUCGGGUCUGCAGGGACUUGGGGGUGACCCAGCUGUACUGCUGCUCUGCCCCUGUGCUGCCCCAGCUCGCUGGGAAGCCUCUCUGUGUGCGAGCCCGAGCACUGAGCUGGAGUCGCGGAUAAUGAGCCCCAUGGAGAGCAGAAUGGAGACUGGAGCACGAGGCUGACUUGAUGUGGCAGUCUGGCUCCUGAAGCUGGUCGGCUUAGCCCAGGAAGGAGCCCGCUGCCUCUUCCUCGGCGGUGUGGGAAGAUGCUCCCUUGGUAAACCUUCACUUGCUGUCAGCAUCCGCUCUCCUUUUGCAAAGCCCUUCUACUGUAAUGAUGCCAUCUCUCUCAAUGUCCUUUAUUAUUCUCCUCUCUGUCAUUCCCAGGGGGUCUGAUUAAAAUCUGUGGAAAGCUCUCUUGGAUUUUACUGGCUUUUGUACUCUUGCUCUGCUCCUUAAUUUGCUUUUUUUUUCUGUUUUUAACUGCUUUCUGUUUAGGCUCACUUCUGCUCUGUUCUAAACACCCCUCAUCUUUCCCCACUUUUGUGUUUUUGUACUUUUAUUCCUAUUCCUGACCUGCUCGACAACUGUUAAAUUACUUAGGCAGUGAGUAAAAUGCAGAUUAAAGAAGUGCUUUCAGCUUUGAGCUAAAAUGUGUUGACAGGUCUCACAAGAGGCCUAGAGGAGACAUGGGAGAGUGGCAUCAUUUUGGGAGAAGAAAAGCUAGAAAAAUUACUCUCAUCAGAUCUGAGGCCUCACCAUGAUUCUGUGGCAGCACUCCUGGCUGCCUUAAUGAGGUUAUGAAUCCACCAGCAGUGUGUGGAAACAGUUUUAAUUGGUGAUAAUUUUAACACUUGUUUAACAAAAUUUAAGGCAGCUGGAAUGGGGUUCUAUCUGUGCUAUACUGCUGUAAAUCAAAAGUAAUGUUAUUCAAACUUAUGUUCUUCUAGAAUAGCAGCACUUUAGCAGAAAUCAGAUUCCAAAGCACUCCUGAAUUUCAGAUAUUAUACUGUAUUUCCAUUUAUAACCUGACAUAAUUCCCACACAGCAUAUGGUAUUAAUCUGGUGUAAACACCAUGUUAUGAUGAUACUCAAACACAUACAGCUGACAUGAAAAUGUCUUCAAGUACAAUAUUUCCAAAAGCAAUUAUGUCUAUAUGGUUGGUAGUUAGUUAGCUUGUGUGAAGUUUUAUUUCUUAUUCAUACAUAUAUGAAGGUUCACAGGAUGAAGCAUGUAUAAAAAAGGAGAUAUUUUCACUGUUUGCAAAAAGGUGGGAAAAAAAUCAGUAGUCUACUUAUUUUGGCCUGUUGGGCUUUUGUAAGGAAAUGUCACCUUCAUGAGUACACAGGAUUUUUACAAUGUUGGAAUUUCCUUUUGUUUGCAUUAGAGGGUAGAUGUAUAGACAAAUGCAAGGAAUAAAAUGACACAAAUUGAAAUUGAUGGUGUUUCUGUUAGAGAAAAUGGACUCCAAAAAAAUGUUUAGGGAAAUUUUGCAAUUCUCAGAGAAAGUAAUACCCUUGAUGUGUGAAUGCCUCAGACAUAAUCUCUGUUGGUAACCAAGCACUUUUCAAUGUUCUCUGAUGAGAGGGGAGGGAGACCAGCACCCCUUGUCCAGGCAGAUGCAUGUGUGAAAUCCUUAAAAAAAUUGCCUAAGAUAGGAGUUGAGCCAAUCAUUUUGUUGAAAGGAGAUAAAGAAAAGCAUGUCUUCUGGAAAGUAAAUGCUUAUGGAUGGUAAUAUUUUUGUUUGAAUGCUUGCCAGUAGGGCCAGAUUUACAGGUAGUGUAAUUUUUCUAGUGUCAUCUCACCCGUUUGAGAUUAAAUUAUUUAUUAGGAUGAAGUGCAGCUUUUUCACAGAUUGUUUCUAGCUCCACCUGGUACCUAGAGUUUCAAAAUUUUUAGCCUUUCCUAGCCCCUUUUUUUCUUCCUGAGGAUCCUUUAUUAAAUAUAUUCCUAAGACAAAGAAAAUAAGGCAACCUCAGUAUCACAUUCUCGUAACAGAAAGGAACUGCAAGAAACUGCUUAACAACCAGCUCUGCACUCGUUAGCUUUAGUAUAAAUCUGCAAUGACUUUAUUUUUAUUACUUCAUACUGGCACUACAGUGGAUAACAGUAGGUUAGACUGUUGAUGGCAUUGUAAAAUGAGCAUUUCCAUCUCAUGCCUAUUAUCCAAAACAAUAUCUUAGUUUUAAAAGAGACAGCUAAAAAAUUUGCAACGGGACAAGAAUAAAUCUGGAACAACUCCACUGAAAAUUUACACCCGUGUGAGCAGGAAUUGAAUUUAGCCCACUUUGCUGAUUUCCUUUUAACGGUUUCUGCACGUUCAAGCACCCACCAGAGAUUAGAUGGAGGCAGCAGAGGCGCUGCUAUCUGCGAUGCAGGCAGGACAGCCGGGGUGAAAGGGUAACGCAUUAUCACACUGCGCCACCUGGCCCAUCCAACACAAUUUGAGCAACCAUAAUUGUAUUGAUUACUUCUUGUGCUCAUGACUAAUGACCUCUAGCUGCAACCUUGCAUUUUUCUAAAUCUUUUAUAUUCUGAUUUAAUAAUAAGAUUUGAUUAAAAAUUGCCAUUAGCCAAUGCCAAUGAUUAGUCAGCAAGACUCAAUGCCGCCAAGUUCCAAUGAGUUUCAUUAUUCUGGAAUUAAAAAGCACAGAGAACUUCUCUGGGUUAAUAAUAACAAUGAUUCUGUCUCAAUCAGGAAUGAAAGAAAACAGCUCUAAUAUACAAAUGCAGCAAAAUGUGUGGCUAUUACUAAUAGCCACAUUUUACAGAGAAGUAUUUGAAGAAUUAAAGGGACUUUGUCACAGAUGGUGGGGACAGUUUGCUUUUGCUUUUUAUAUUUGAUUGGAAAGCCAGUGUCAGAUGGUGUGUGAGGGGGCAUUUUCCUAAGGAAAGACAUUUCCUUUGGUUCAGCAAGAAUGUGGGGCUUAUUCAAAUUCUCCAUGAGAAUCCCCACCACAACAAAACAAGGCAAAGUGUAUGUCAGCAAAAAUGGAUUGUGAUGGCUUUAGAAAAUGACGAGAGGCUUGUCUAGGUUAUUUACCUGCUGAGAAUAUAUUUUACUAUGUAUUUCUUUUUCAUUUUUAAAAAAAUAUGACUUAUUACUUAAAAGGAUAUAUUGUCACAUCGCAGAAAAUAAAAAAAAAAAAAUCUGCCAUCUUCUUUCAAGAAGGUAAGAUAUUUAAACACAAACUAAUUUUUAGACAUGUAGCUAAAUCCUGCUCAAGAGUGUUAGGCUAAGGAGAAACUUAAGUAUAUAUCUAAAAGCUCUGCUGGAUCCGAAUUGGCUUUGGUGUUUCUGUAUUUGGGGUGUGCUAGAGGAGAUGCUCUGUGGGGUGAACAUCUGCUAUGGGAUGUGAUGUUCCCUCAGAUCCCAUUGAAGCUGAUGGAGGACUAGGUGACACCGAAGUCAGUGAGAGCUGAGAGCACUCAGCACCUUUCAGGUUCAGGUCUCUAAAUAAUAAAAGACUCUUGAGACACAGUAAAAGCAUUUCCUGCCCCUCACACAGGAGCAGGAAAGCUGUCCUGUCUCACUUUUAUCCUCCAGAAAACAUGCUAUGUCGCAAACGUGAGUCCCAUAAGAUUUUUAAAGUAUUUGAAUAAAGAAAUACCUUGUUAAAAUACUGCCCACAUAAAAUCUUGUAUUGGGUUUGCAUGCCAAGGUUUUGGUAGAGAGGGAGGCUACAGAGGUCGCUUCUGUAAGAAGCUUCCCCGUGAAACUUCCCCAUGUCUGGCAGAGCCAAUGACGGCUGUCUCCAACACAGACCCACUGCUGGCCAAGGUCAAGCCCAUCAGUGAUGGCGGUGGAGCCUCGUGGAUGGCGUAGUCAAGAAGUGGGAGAAACCCCCACCAAUCUGGGGUGCAACAGCAGCUGGAGGAAGGAGUGAGAAUAUGUGAGAGGAACCCACCCAACCUACCCCCAGGUCAGUGCAGAAGGAGGGGGACGGGCUGCUCUAGGUGCCAGAGCUGAGUGAAACAGGCUGUGUCCCUGCAGCCCAGGGAGGUUCAGGAUGGAGCACAGAUCCACCUGCAGCCCAUGGAGAAGAAGGGGAUGCCUGAAGAAGGGUGUGACCCCACGGGAAGCCUGCACUGGAGCAGACCCCUGCCAGGAUCUGUGUCCCUGUGAAGAGAGGAGUCCAUGUUGGACCAGGUUUGCUGGCAGGACUUGGGACCCUGUGGGGUACAGUCUGGAGCAUCCUGUUCCUGCAGGAGUGCAUCCUGUGAAAGGGACCCAUGCUGGCUGGAGCAGUUCAUAAAGAACUGUAGUCCAUGGGAAAGACUCACAUUGGAGAAGUUUGUGGGGACUCUCUCCUGUGGGGUGGACCCCAUGCUGGAGCAGUGGAAGAGCGUGAGGAGUCUGCCUGCUGAGGAGGAAGGGGCAGAAAGGACACCAUGGGAUGAACUGACCACAGCCCCAUUCCCCCUCCCCCUACUGCUGUUGGGAUGGAAGAGGCAGAGAAAUCAGGAGAGAAGCUGAUCCUUGGAAAAAGGGAGGGUUGGAGGAAAGUUGUUGUAAGAUAUGGGUUUAUUUCUCCAUGGUUUGAUUUGUAAUAAAUUAAACUAAUUUCCCCAAGUGCAGUCUGUUUUGCCAAUGAUGGUCACUGGUGAGUGAUCUCUCCCUGCACUUAUCUUGACCCAUGAGCCUUUCAUUAUACUUUCUCUCCUUUGCCCAGCUGAGAAGAGCAGUGAUAAAGCAGCUUUGGUGGACACCUGGUGCCCAGCCAAGGUCAACCCACCACAAAUCUUUUGUCACCUUCAGGAACAUAAUUUUAAAAUAUUCUUUAAUAAAGUUUGCUAUUGGCAACUGUUGUUUUCCAGGCUUAUUAUAAGUGCCUUUAAAAUGUUUCCAUUAAUUAAGUUUGCUUUUAUGGACUACAUCCAUUUAGUAAAAUUGCAGAAAGAAGUGCUGCCGACACAUCUGUCAUUGACUUCUGUUUGCCUGAGCAUUUUAUACCCCCAUGAACUGCACAGUGGGGAGAGAAAGCCUGUGAAGAAGAAUGAUAGAAAGUGGUGAAUUCUGUCCAGCAAAACAUGGAGGUCAGGAGAGACAGCUGAUUACAUACUCAUGUUUUCCAGGAUUUCAUGAGGAGAGUGGAAAGUUGUUUAAACUCUGGUUACAACAGAAUAGCGCUCUUGAAAUGUACUCUCUUAAAAUAUACAUGAAAUACUCAGAAAAUAAAAAUGCAUAAAAUGUC
Haemorhous mexicanus (house finch) is the source of this 14464-nucleotide long non-coding RNA. RefSeq lists it as uncharacterized. The record is from RefSeq and is a predicted model, not a curated record. The transcript is spliced from 11 exons. NCBI's taxonomy places the organism in Eukaryota, Metazoa, Chordata, Aves, Passeriformes, Fringillidae.